GUUGAUCAUGGCUCAGGAUGAACGCUAGCUACAGGCUUAACACAUGCAAGUCGAGGGCAGCAUGUGGUUGCUUGCAACCAAUGAUGGCGACCGGCGCACGGGUGAGUAACGCGUAUCCAACCUUCCCUAUAGUAGAGGAUAGCCCGGCGAAAGUCGGAUUAAUACUCUAUGUUUUCCAAUGCAGACAUCUAAAAUGGACAAAGGUUCACCGCUAUAGGAUGGGGAUGCGUCUGAUUAGAUAGUCGGCGGGGUAACGGCCCACCGAGUCGACGAUCAGUAGGGUUCUGAGAGGAAGGUCCCCCACAUUGGAACUGAGACACGGUCCAAACUCCUACGGGAGGCAGCAGUGAGGAAUAUUGGUCAAUGGGCGAGAGCCUGAACCAGCCAAGUAGCGUGCAGGAUGACGGCCCUAUGGGUUGUAAACUGCUUUUAUACAGGGAUAAAGUGACGUACGUGUACGUUUUUGUAGGUACUGUAUGAAUAAGGACCGGCUAAUUCCGUGCCAGCAGCCGC
Molecule: ribosomal RNA, 513 nt
Filed under: uncultured bacterium
Lineage: Bacteria
Description: bacterial SSU rRNA
Rfam family: Bacterial small subunit ribosomal RNA
Source: RNAcentral